UAAAGUUGCAAAAAUGGUCG
RNAcentral lists this non-coding RNA (20 nucleotides) under Arabidopsis thaliana (thale cress). The record is from RNAcentral. Lineage: Eukaryota; Viridiplantae; Streptophyta; Magnoliopsida; Brassicales; Brassicaceae.